This 442-nucleotide ribosomal RNA is filed under the name Clavibacter sepedonicus. Its description in RNAcentral is "bacterial SSU rRNA". It matches the Rfam family "Bacterial small subunit ribosomal RNA", at positions 20 to 473 of the family's 1533-position model. The record is from RNAcentral. Lineage: Bacteria; Bacillati; Actinomycetota; Actinomycetes; Micrococcales; Microbacteriaceae.
UGGCUCAGGACGAACGCUGGCGGCGUGCUUAACACAUGCAAGUCGAACGGUGAUGUCAGAGCUUGCUCUGGCGGAUCAGUGGCGAACGGGUGAGUAACACGUGAGUAACCUGCCCCCGACUCUGGGAUAACUGCUAGAAAUGGUAGCUAAUACCGGAUAUGACGAUUGGCCGCAUGGUCUGGUCGUGGAAAGAAUUUCGGUUGGGGAUGGACUCGCGGCCUAUCAGGUUGUUGGUGAGGUAAUGGCUCACCAAGCCUACGACGGGUAGCCGGCCUGAGAGGGUGACCGGCCACACUGGGACUGAGACACGGCCCAGACUCCUACGGGAGGCAGCAGUGGGGAAUAUUGCACAAUGGGCGAAAGCCUGAUGCAGCAACGCCGCGUGAGGGAUGACGGCCUUCGGGUUGUAAACCUCUUUUAGUAGGGAAGAAGCGAAAGUGAC